UUGAAAGGGAAACGAUUGAAGUCAGUCGUACCGACGAGAAAUCAACUUAUCGUGUGCGAACUUGUGGGCGUGCGUGAGUCUCGGCCUCGCUGUUUGCAUGUUUGUGCGCUUUGGGUGUACUUUUUCGUAUGGUAGGCCAACGUCAGUUUCGAUUAUCAUAAAAUGACCGGCGGAAUGUAGCUUCGAUUUCGGUUGAAGUGUUAUAGCCUCUGGUAGAUGUGGUGAUUGAGACUGAGGAUUGCAACGAAUAUCCUUCGGGCUAUCCGUCUGGCCUCUGAAAGUUGCUCAGGUGCCGAAAGCGUGCUUACGGUCAUCUAAGAUAACGUUCAACAGGUUAGAACGUGAUUACAUUCGUUAAGGAUGUUGACGUA
RNAcentral lists this ribosomal RNA (371 nucleotides) under uncultured Glomeromycotina. Its description in RNAcentral is "eukaryotic LSU rRNA". Lineage: Eukaryota; Fungi; Glomeromycota. The record is from RNAcentral.